RNAcentral lists this ribosomal RNA (459 nucleotides) under uncultured bacterium. Its description in RNAcentral is "partial 16S ribosomal RNA". It matches the Rfam family "Bacterial small subunit ribosomal RNA", at positions 338 to 795 of the family's 1533-position model. The record is from RNAcentral.
CCUACGGGUGGCAGCAGUGAGGAAUAUUGGUCAAUGGGCGCGAGCCUGAACCAGCCAAGUCGCGUGAGGGAAGACGGUCCUAUGGAUUGUAAACCUCUUUUGUCGGGGAGCAAAAGACGCCACGCGUGGCGUUCCGAGAGUACCCGAAGAACAAGCAUCGGCUAACUCCGUGCCAGCAGCCGCGGUAAUACGGAGGAUGCGAGCGUUAUCCGGAUUUAUUGGGUUAAAAGGGUGCGCAGGCGGAAGAUCAAGUCAGCGGUAAAAUUGAGAGGCUCAACCUCUUCGAGCCGUUGAAACUGGUGUUCUUGAGUGAGUGAGAAGUAUGCGGAAUGUGUGGUGUAGCGGUGAAAUGCAUAGAUAUCACGCAGAACUCCGAUUGCGAAGGCAGCAUACCGGCGCUCAACUGACGCUCAUGCACGAAAGUGUGGGUAUCGAACAGGAUUAGAUACCCCUGUAGUC